UGGGCAGGACACUCCAUCCUGCAGAAGGGAC
RNAcentral lists this non-coding RNA (31 nucleotides) under Macaca fascicularis (crab-eating macaque). The record is from RNAcentral. RNAcentral also lists the same sequence under 1 other name. Lineage: Eukaryota; Metazoa; Chordata; Mammalia; Primates; Cercopithecidae.